AUUGAACGCUGGCGGCAGGCUUAACACAUGCAAGUCGAGCGGGGGAAGGUAGCUUGCUACCGGACCUAGCGGCGGACGGGUGAGUAAUGCUUAGGAAUCUGCCUAUUAGUGGGGGACAACAUCUCGAAAGGGAUGCUAAUACCGCAUACGUCCUACGGGAGAAAGCAGGGGAUCUUCGGACCUUGCGCUAAUAGAUGAGCCUAAGUCGGAUUAGCUAGUUGGUGGGGUAAAGGCCUACCAAGGCGACGAUCUGUAGCGGGUCUGAGAGGAUGAUCCGCCACACUGGGACUGAGACACGGCCCAGACUCCUACGGGAGGCAGCAGUGGGGAAUAUUGGACAAUGGGGGGAACCCUGAUCCAGCCAUGCCGCGUGUGUGAAGAAGGCCUUAUGGUUGUAAAGCACUUUAAGCGAGGAGGAGGCUACUUUAGUUAAUACCUAGAGAUAGUGGACGUUACUCGCAGAAUAAGCACCGGCUAACUCUGUGCCAGCAGCCGCGGUAAUACAGAGGGUGCGAGCGUUAAUCGGAUUUACUGGGCGUAAAGCGUGCGUAGGCGGCUUAUUAAGUCGGAUGUGAAAUCCCCGAGCUUAACUUGGGAAUUGCAUUCGAUACUGGUGAGCUAGAGUAUGGGAGAGGAUGGUAGAAUUCCAGGUGUAGCGGUGAAAUGCGUAGAGAUCUGGAGGAAUACCGAUGGCGAAGGCAGCCAUCUGGCCUAAUACUGACGCUGAGGUACGAAAGCAUGGGGAGCAAACAGGAUUAGAUACCCUGGUAGUCCAUGCCGUAAACGAUGUCUACUAGCCGUUGGGGCCUU
RNAcentral lists this ribosomal RNA (810 nucleotides) under Acinetobacter baumannii Canada BC-5. RNAcentral describes it as "bacterial SSU rRNA". It matches the Rfam family "Bacterial small subunit ribosomal RNA", at positions 28 to 832 of the family's 1533-position model. Lineage: Bacteria; Pseudomonadati; Pseudomonadota; Gammaproteobacteria; Moraxellales; Moraxellaceae. The record is from RNAcentral.